This 532-nucleotide long non-coding RNA is filed under the name Nicotiana benthamiana. RNAcentral describes it as "long non-coding RNA (NBEN_LNC014621)". Lineage: Eukaryota; Viridiplantae; Streptophyta; Magnoliopsida; Solanales; Solanaceae. The record is from RNAcentral.
CUAGAAUAACUCGAAUAUGCCCGGAAAUUUCGAACACAAAUGGACUGAAUAUGCAUCAUGGUUGCUACUGGUUUUUCAGGUGGUCGUGAGGGAUGAGAAGAUGAGGCAGGAGUGACGGGGCUGGCUGUGCUUGUUGGCGGUCGACGUGAAGGCUGUGAAGCUGGACGUGAGGUUGACGAAGGUGACUGGUUCGUUGGUCGUUUGGAGGACGAAUAUGAUCGAUGAAACAGAAAUGGUGAUGAUGUCCGCUGCUGUCCAGCGAACUCUGGUGGCGUGAGGAUGGUCCAAUUAGUGAGGGUGACGACAGGGAUGGUUUGUCCGUCAUUACUGGAGGCGGAUCGAUGCAGCAGCAGAAAGCUGGUUUCUAUGGCUGUGGUGGUUCAUUCAGGUGCGGUUUGGGAUGGUGAGCAGCAUCAUGAGGCUGGAGGGGUCGUUUGGGAGUGUGGGUUGUUUGACGUGGGUGGUUAUUAGGGUGGUUCACGGUUUAGGGGGGUGUUUUUGGAGAAGAUGAGUAGGGGGUUUGUGUUUUUGC